GUUCUUUGGAAGAAGAUUCUUUCCUAAGUGAGACAAGUAAGUCGGACAAAAAGGGGAAAACUGCUGUCGAGGUUUCAUCAUAAUCAUCAGAAAGAUAUCUGAUAAGGUAUGGAAAAAGAUUGUAGAGCUGAAAUGAGCAAUUUUCUUUCAACUCUGGACUAAGUUCUGAAGGAUCGGAUUUUAUAGCGACAAGUUCAACACCCUGUGCAUUUAUUAACUUGGCGACAUGUUCGUCGAAGUUAGGAUCAGUGGAUUGUUCCUGCGACUUUGAAAAGAACAAAUUCAGGUUAAGAAUAUUGAGCAGAUUAAGUUUCUCAAGUGGCUUCAUUUUCUUAUUCACAAUUUCGGUCAUUGUCUCGCAUGCAGCGCAACGUAAUUCUUCAAUUUGAAGGAAAGAGUAUAACAAGUUCAUACACGGUUCAUUAACUAUCAAAUUUAUAUUGAUCCAAGAUACCCACUGUGCAUAUACUUGAAGGCACAAUCCAACCGUGCC
Non-coding RNA from Schizosaccharomyces pombe (fission yeast), 493 nucleotides. The record is from the annotation of a GenBank genome assembly. Lineage: Eukaryota; Fungi; Ascomycota; Schizosaccharomycetes; Schizosaccharomycetales; Schizosaccharomycetaceae.